AUAGGAGAAUUAGUGAGAAACCCAUUCACCUGCCCUCCGAAGGCAGAGGUCAGAGGUUCGAAUCCUCUUGGGUGCGCCA
This 79-nucleotide transfer RNA is filed under the name Parvularcula dongshanensis. Its description in RNAcentral is "tRNA-Arg". It matches the Rfam family "tRNA". From Rfam's summary of the family: Transfer RNA (tRNA) molecules are approximately 80 nucleotides in length. Their secondary structure includes four short double-helical elements and three loops (D, anti-codon, and T loops). Further hydrogen bonds mediate the characteristic L-shaped molecular structure. tRNAs have two regions of fundamental functional importance: the anti-codon, which is responsible for specific mRNA codon recognition, and the 3' end, to which the tRNAs corresponding amino acid is attached (by aminoacyl-tRNA synthetases). tRNAs cope with the degeneracy of the genetic code in two manners: having more than one tRNA (with a specific anti-codon) for a particular amino acid; and 'wobble' base-pairing, i.e. permitting non-standard base-pairing at the 3rd anti-codon position. The record is from RNAcentral. Lineage: Bacteria; Pseudomonadati; Pseudomonadota; Alphaproteobacteria; Parvularculales; Parvularculaceae.